ACUUGUCAUUUAGAUCUGAUUAGCUGCAUGGUGACUUUUCUGUUGCAUUUGAUACCAUGAUGCUUUAUUGAUCAAUGACAGGCAUGUGUAUUGUGUCACAAAGUACUAUGGAUCAUUGGCAGGCAUUUGCUAUACUGCUGCUGAAGGGGGACUUGAAGUUAGGGACUUGUAUGUUACCAAGGUUGCCCUUCAAAACAAAAGGAUUAAAAGCUUACUUAACCAUGAAGAAAUUGUUUGCAAUAAUCUUGUCAUGGCUAAAUAUGAUUUUUAAUCUUUUAGGAGCUUUCAAUAUCCUAGGAGAAUGACUUGGAGUUGGAAUUUGUUUUUGACUGCUAUUGUACAACUUACAUCUGGAUAUGUCAAAGUAAUUUAGUGUGGCAGAUCCACUAGUAUUAUGAAUGGUAGUUGGGUGUCUUGACACCCGUGUAUGAAACCUACUUUUAUUUCUGUUG
RNAcentral lists this long non-coding RNA (452 nucleotides) under Musa acuminata (dwarf banana). Its description in RNAcentral is "long non-coding RNA (MACU_LNC002836)". Lineage: Eukaryota; Viridiplantae; Streptophyta; Magnoliopsida; Zingiberales; Musaceae. The record is from RNAcentral.